Molecule: ribosomal RNA, 248 nt
Filed under: uncultured bacterium
Lineage: Bacteria
Description: partial 16S ribosomal RNA
Rfam family: Bacterial small subunit ribosomal RNA
Source: RNAcentral
CCUACGGGAGGCAGCAGUAGGGAAUCUUCCACAAUGGACGAAAGUCUGAUGGAGCAACGCCGCGUGAGUGAAGAAGGGUUUCGGCUCGUAAAGCUCUGUUGGGGGUGAAGAGAGAUAGAGGGAGUAACUGGCCUUUAUUUGACGGGAAUUACUUAGAAAGUCAAGGCUAACUACGUGCCAGCAGCCGCGGGAAUACGUAGGUGGCAAGCGUUGUCCGGAUUUAUUGGGCGUAAAGCGAGUGCAGGGGG